GUGGGGAAUAUUGCACAAUGGGCGAAAGCCUGAUGCAGCAACGCCGCGUGAGGGACGACGGCCUUCGGGUUGUAAACCUCUUUUAGUAGGGAAGAAGCGAAAGUGACGGUACCUGCAGAAAAAGCACCGGCUAACUACGUGCCAGCAGCCGCGGUAAUACGUAGGGUGCAAGCGUUAUCCGGAAUUAUUGGGCGUAAAGAGCUCGUAGGCGGUCUGUCGCGUCUGAUGUGAAAACUGGAGGCUCAACCUCCAGCCUGCAGUGGGUACGGGCAGACUAGAGUGCGGUAGGGGAGAUUGGAAUUCCUGGUGUAGCGGUGGAAUGCGCAGAUAUCAGGAGGAACACCGAUGGCGAAGGCAGAUCUCUGGGCCGUAACUGACGCUGAGGAGCGAAAGCGUGGGGAGCGAACAGGAUUAGAAACCCGGGUAGUCC
RNAcentral lists this ribosomal RNA (430 nucleotides) under uncultured bacterium. RNAcentral describes it as "bacterial SSU rRNA". It matches the Rfam family "Bacterial small subunit ribosomal RNA", at positions 354 to 796 of the family's 1533-position model. The record is from RNAcentral.